GACGAACGCUGGCGGCGUGCCUAAUACAUGCAAGUAGAACGCUGAAGGAGGAGCUUGCUUCUCUUGAUGAGUUGCGAACGGGUGAGUAACGCGUAGGUAACCUGCCUGGUAGCGGGGGAUAACUAUUGGAAACGCUAGCUAAUACCGCAUAAGAGUUGAUGUUGCAUGACAUUUGCUUAAAAGGUGCAAUUGCAUCACUACCAGAUGGACCUGCGUUGGAUUAUCUAGUUGGUGGGGUAACGGCUUACCAAGGCGACGAUACAUCGCCGACCUGAGAGGGGGAGAGGCCACACCGGGACUGAGACACGGCCCAGAAUCCUAAGGGAGGCAGCAGGAGGGAAUCUUCGGCAAAGGACGGAAGUCUGAACGAGGAAAGCCGCGGGAGGGAAGAAGGGUGUCGGAUCGGAAAGAUCUGUUGUAAGAGAAGAAAGAGAGUGAGAGUGGAAAGUUCACACUGUGACGGUACCUUACCAGAAAGGGACGGCUAACUACGUG
Molecule: ribosomal RNA, 495 nt
Filed under: uncultured bacterium
Lineage: Bacteria
Description: partial 16S ribosomal RNA
Rfam family: Bacterial small subunit ribosomal RNA
Source: RNAcentral